CAGUCGCCGCGGUAACACGUAGGUGGCAAGCGUUGUCCGGAAUUAUUGGGCGUAAAGCGCGCGCAGGCGGAUCGGUCAGUCUGUCUUAAAAGUUCGGGGCUUAACCCCGUGAUGGGAUGGAAACUGCCAAUCUAGAGUAUCGGAGAGGAAAGUGGAAUUCCUAGUGUAGCGGUGAAAUGCGUAGAUAUUAGGAAGAACACCAGUGGCGAAGGCGACUUUCUGGACGAAAACUGACGCUGAGGCGCGAAAGCCAGGGGAGCGAACGGGAUUAGAUACCCCCGUAGUCCCUGUCUCUUAUACA
This 301-nucleotide ribosomal RNA is filed under the name uncultured bacterium. RNAcentral describes it as "partial 16S ribosomal RNA". It matches the Rfam family "Bacterial small subunit ribosomal RNA", at positions 509 to 809 of the family's 1533-position model. The record is from RNAcentral.